CCUACGGGUGGCAGCAGUGGGGAAUAUUGGACAAUGGGGGGAACCCUGAUCCAGCCAUGCCGCGUGUGUGAAGAAGGCCCUCGGGUUGUAAAGCACUUUCAGUGAGGAAGAACGCCUGGUGGUUAAUACCCAUCAGGAAAGACAUCACUCACAGAAGAAGCACCGGCUAACUCCGUGCCAGCAGCCGCGGUAAUACGGAGGGUGCGAGCGUUAAUCGGAAUUACUGGGCGUAAAGCGCGCAUAGGUGGCUUGAUAAGCCGGUUGUGAAAGCCCCGGGCUCAACCUGGGAACGGCAUCCGGAACUGUCAAGCUAGAGUGCAGGAGAGGAAGGUAGAAUUCCCGGUGUAGCGGUGAAAUGCGUAGAGAUCGGGAGGAAUACCAGUGGCGAAGGCGGCCUUCUGGACUGACACUGACACUGAGGUGCGAAAGCGUGGGUAGCAAACAGGAUUAGAUACCCGAGUAGUC
RNAcentral lists this ribosomal RNA (465 nucleotides) under Vreelandella stevensii. Its description in RNAcentral is "partial 16S ribosomal RNA". It matches the Rfam family "Bacterial small subunit ribosomal RNA", at positions 338 to 795 of the family's 1533-position model. The record is from RNAcentral. Lineage: Bacteria; Pseudomonadati; Pseudomonadota; Gammaproteobacteria; Oceanospirillales; Halomonadaceae.